AGGCGACGCCGACGCGAGUUUGGCGGCUGCUGCUUGCGACUGCGGAGGCCGGGCGAGGCCGGUGAGGACGCGGCGGGCGAGCGAGAGGCCGAGGUGUUUUCUUCACUCAUGGUGAAGAAUGGGGGAGAUAGAAGGAACAUACAGAGUCCUGCAGACUGCAGGGACACGCUUGGGUGCCCAGACCCCUGUGGGAGUUAGCACCCUUGAGCCUGGGCAGACUCUCUUGCCCAGAAUGCAAGAGAAGCACCUGCACCUCAGAGUAAAGCUGCUGGACAACACCAUGGAAAUAUUUGACAUUGAGGUUUGAAAAAUAGCAGCCUAAAUGCGAUGGCCAGGUAUUACUGACACAAGUGUGGAAGCGUUUAAACCUGGUAGAAUGUGACUACUUCGGGUUGGAGUUUCAAAAUACUCAGUCCUACUGGAUUUGGCUUGAACCUAUGAAACCCAUCAUUAGGCAAAUACGAAACAGGGUCUCGCUAUUUGUUGCCCAGGCUGGAGUGUAGUGGUGUGAACACAGUUCUCUGCAGCCUCAACCUCCUGGGUUCAAGCUAUCUUCCCACCUCAGUCUCAAGAUAAUUAUUUUCGUUCAUCUACUUAUUAAAUUUUUUAAACUAAGG
Molecule: small RNA, 617 nt
Filed under: Pan troglodytes (chimpanzee)
Lineage: Eukaryota; Metazoa; Chordata; Mammalia; Primates; Hominidae
Description: processed transcript
Source: RNAcentral